This 497-nucleotide ribosomal RNA is filed under the name uncultured bacterium. RNAcentral describes it as "partial 16S ribosomal RNA". It matches the Rfam family "Bacterial small subunit ribosomal RNA", at positions 28 to 507 of the family's 1533-position model. The record is from RNAcentral.
GAUGAACGCUGGCGGCGUGCCUAAUACAUGCAAGUCGAGCGAACAGACGAGGAGCUUGCUCCUCUGACGUUAGCGGCGGACGGGUGAGUAACACGUGGAUAACCUACCUAUAAGACUGGGAUAACUUCGGGAAACCGGAGCUAAUACCGGAUAAUAUAUUGAACCGCAUGGUUCAAUAGUGAAAGACGGUUUUGCUGUCACUUAUAGAUGGAUCCGCGCCGCAUUGGCUAGUUGGUAAGGUAACGGCUUACCAAGGCAACGAUGCGUAGCCGACCUGAGAGGGUGAUCGGCCACACUGGAACUGAGACACGGUCCAGACUCCUACGGGAGGCAGCAGUAGGGAAUCUUCCGCAAUGGGCGAAAGCCUGACGGAGCAACGCCGCGUGAGUGAUGAAGGUCUUCGGAUCGUAAAACUCUGUUAUUAGGGAAGAACAAAUGUGUAAGUAACUAUGCACGUCUUGACGGUACCUAAUCAGAAAGCCACGGCUAACUACGUG